This 638-nucleotide unclassified non-coding RNA is filed under the name Scenedesmus vacuolatus. RNAcentral describes it as "sequence contains 18S rRNA gene, ITS1, 5.8S rRNA gene, ITS2". The stretch from base 251 to 404 matches the Rfam family "5.8S ribosomal RNA". The record is from RNAcentral. Lineage: Eukaryota; Viridiplantae; Chlorophyta; Chlorophyceae; Sphaeropleales; Scenedesmaceae.
UAACAAGGUCUCCGUAGGUGAACCUGCGGAGGGAUCAUUGAAUUAUUAAAACCACACUGUGAACCUCAACGUUUCGUGCUCUGGCUUGCCAGUGAGGGCAUCCGUCAACUGCGUUGGCCACCCUCACAGCUCAGUGGGCAAUGCUGCCGACUGAGUGGCGCCUUAGCAUGCUUAUACACCAGUGCUAACCACUGUUGAAACCAAACUCUGAAGUUGUGAUUGCUAUUAAUUGGCAAUCUUAACCAAAGACAACUCUCAACAACGGAUAUCUUGGCUCUCGCAACGAUGAAGAACGCAGCGAAAUGCGAUACGUAGUGUGAAUUGCAGAAUUCCGUGAACCAUCGAAUCUUUGAACGCAUAUUGCGCUCGAGCCCUCGGGCAAGAGCAUGUCUGCCUCAGCGUCGGUUUACACCCUCACCCCUCCCUCUUUUUGUGGGUCAGUUGGCAUAUUGCCAGCCUAGGGGUGGAUCUGGCUUCCCCAAUCUGCCGCUUGGUGGGUUGGGUUGGCUGAAGUACAGAGGCUUAAGCAAGGACCCGAUAUGGGCUUCAACUGGAUAGGUAGCUCCGGCUUGUGCCGACUACACGAAGUUGUGGCUUGUGGAUCUUGCUAGGAGCCCAGCAGGAACGUGCCUUAGGCA